RNAcentral lists this ribosomal RNA (253 nucleotides) under uncultured bacterium. RNAcentral describes it as "partial 16S ribosomal RNA". It matches the Rfam family "Bacterial small subunit ribosomal RNA", at positions 524 to 776 of the family's 1533-position model. The record is from RNAcentral.
CACGUAGGGCGCAAGCGUUGUCCGGAAUUAUUGGGCGUAAAGAGCUCGUAGGCGGUCCGUUGCGUCCGCUGUGAAAACUCGGGGCUUAACCCCGAGCCUGCAGUGGAUACGGGCAGACUAGAGUUCGGUAGGGGAGUCUGGAAUUCCUGGUGUAGCGGUGAAAUGCGCAGAUAUCAGGAGGAACACCGGUGGCGAAGGCGGGACUCUGGGCCGAUACUGACGCUGAGGAGCGAAAGCGUGGGGAGCAAACAGG